This 2738-nucleotide long non-coding RNA is filed under the name Capsicum annuum. RNAcentral's name for it is "long non-coding RNA (CANN_LNC011020)". The record is from RNAcentral. Lineage: Eukaryota; Viridiplantae; Streptophyta; Magnoliopsida; Solanales; Solanaceae.
UUGCUAAUCUAUUGCUAAAUUACUCCUACCUAAUUAAAAAUUUUGAUAAUCCAUCACUAAUAUAUUUCUAAACAUGAUUAGCAAUAAAUUUUACUGUUUAGCUACAAAAAUUCUCCGAUCACUUGUAAUUCAUACUUUUUUUAAGUAGUGAUUAAUCUUCACUAGGCUUUAUCCAGUAUCCACUGCUAUUUUGUUCCUUUUCUCCAACCAUAGAUACUUGAUAUUUCCUAAUCUUGUCUCUUCACCAUAAGCAAUCCCCAACUAUACUCUAUAAUCUUUAUCUAAUUAAAAGCUAGAAAGAAAGAAGAAAAAAGGAGAAAAAUCAGCAGGGACGACCUGAGGAACAUAUAUAUUAUGCCAAAAACGUUAGAAUUUGUGGUUUUGGUUUGUGUUGUAAGCUGUGUAGGUGCAGAACAUAUAAUGUUGGUGGUGGUCUUGGAUGAACUGUUCCUCCUGAUAGAGAAGUUGAUUACAAAAGUUGGGCUGCAAACCAAACCUUCAAAUCUGGAGAUACUUUAGGUAAGCAUGUUAAAAUUCUCUAACUAAAAUUUAGGCAUCAUUUAUUUUUAUUAAGAUUAAGAUUCGUGAAUUUGAAUAUAUAUUUUGUAUUUAAAAAAUAUAUAAUUUAAAUAAAAUAUUAAUCAUCCAUGAUUUGUCCAAUUGGAUGCAUGUAAAGAUUUGGUGAUAUAUAGCUUAAAUUGAUUUAUAAAAAUUUUUGUUAAAUAUUCAUUUGAUUUGUUAUAUCUGAACAUAAUAAAGAGAAAAAAAAUUUAUCAGGUACUUAAACAAAUUAAUCAAAAAAAUUCAAAAAAUAAAAACUUAGUAGAAUUAUUAGAGGCUUGCGUUAUGAUACAUUUCUUAGACCAUUUCAGUCCAAGUGAUUUUUGAGCGGGCCAAUGACAUUUUAACAUGUCUAAAUUUAACUCAACUUGCUCAGUUGAUAUCUCAGGAAUAUCUAGUAGUAACGUGGCCGACAAUAAUAGUUAAUAGUGAUUGUUGAUGGUGAUAGUUGGUGAUGAAGGAGGCUAAUAAUUGUAAUGGAUGAUAGUGAUAAUUAAUAAAAUAGAUGAUCACUAAUAGUGGUGGCUGGCGAUAUAUAGUGAUGAUUGAUUGUAUUGAUUAUAAAUGAUUGUUUUGGUAAUAACAACUAACUAUGGUGACUAGGGGCGAUAUAAUAGCUAAGGAUGGUGAUUGUGGUGAGUGGUAUUAAAUGAUAAUGAUAAGUAAGGAUGAUGGUAGUUGAUAAUAAUGGGCCAUAACAAUAGAUAAUAGUGAAAAUGGAUAUGAUAGUGUUGAAAUGUUGUCUUUGUAGAAAUCUUUAAAAGGUUAACAUCUUAAUAAUAUAUAUAUAUAUACAUAUAUGCAAUAAGUAAUUGUGUAAAAUAAUAUUAUGCAAUAAUUAAGGUUUAGGCAUAACAUAUUUCCUUGAUGAUAAAAAUUCAAAUCAUUACUAAAAUACAAACAAAUGAGCCUUAGUACUUACUAAAAUACCAGUUGCCUUAGCUAAUCAUGAGAUUUUUGUUUAAAUAGUUCUUUAUAUUCUUUUUUAAUAUUUUACUUAAUUGAUGUUCAACUAAUAGGAAGAAUAAGGGUAAAUCUAAAAAAAGAAAACAUGCCUUUCGAUUCAUUUUAUGUAUUUAAUUUGACUAAGUAACAAGUUUAAAAAUAUAAAAAAGACAUUUAAUUUUUGUGAUCUAAAUAAAGAUGUAUAUAUAACACCAAAACUACCAUUUGAAUCUUCUGGCUUAGAAAUAUCAUGGAAUAUCUAUUAGGGAAUCGCAUUAGCCACAGAAUUAAAAUAUUAGAAUAUAAACUUAGAAAAAUAUAAAAAGGUGACAUUCUUUUUUAACUCAAUUUUUCUAAUAUUAUUUUAAUUUUGAAAACCCAUAUAUUUGUUCAAGAUGGUGAUUGACGUCUCUAUGGAACGAAAUUUUAUCAAAUUUGAAUCCGUAUAAAAUUCGAAUUAUAUUAAAUUCAAAGUAUAUUAGUCUCAAAUAAAUAUUGUGGAUUAAUAUAAUUGAAUUAAUUAUUUAAGUCCAAACAUAUAUGGAUGUAAUUAAAUUUUAAUUUUUAUUGGGCUAGCCCAUUGAUUUGGGCUACAAACGAUAAGCCCACUUUGUUAAACCCAAGAUAUUGUCAUAUUCUAGAGGCCUAAAUGAGUGUCACGUGUCAAAUGACAUGGCAUGUCAAGUCAAGUAAAUGAGCCAAUAGGAUCAUGCCACAUAUCACAAUGAUGCAACUGGCCCAAUGAAAUAAAAAGCUCAUCAAAUGUGUCAUGUUAUUUAAAUCUGAUUGACCAAAAGAAGUUCAUCUUCAUCAUGACUCCUUCCUGGCUACAACUAUAAAUAAGAGUCUCAUAAUUAAGAAAAUGGACCAAGAACUCUAACAAGAAGCAAGAGAAAGAUCGUGGAUCAAACACUGCAAUUUCUCUACAAAGCUCAAGCAUUCAAAUUCAGUUCAUCAAGAUUCAAGAUAAAGACCGCAAGAUUCAAGAACAUACUCAAAAGCCCUUGAAUUCAAGCACAAGUCAAGAUCAAGUCCAUCAAAUCAACAAAUCAAGUUCAAAUUCAAGAUCAAGAUUUAAGCCCUUGAAUUUAUAUUUGAAAAGGCGAAUCAGAGGAUUCAUAGAGAUUGUAACACUCACAUUGAAAUCAAUAAAAUGAUUGUUGCAGUAUUUCUCUUGUCUCGAUUAUUUAUUUUUUUCGACUCGAAAAUUUUAUUGUUCAACAAAUUCUGGC